Molecule: long non-coding RNA, 1441 nt
Filed under: Equus caballus (horse)
Lineage: Eukaryota; Metazoa; Chordata; Mammalia; Perissodactyla; Equidae
Description: lncRNA (ENSECAG00000044867.1)
Source: RNAcentral
AUGGAACAGGGCUUGUCUUUAUGACUUACAGAAUCCACUGAAAUCUCUGUGGACAUUGCCAACCUUGGGGGAACUUCUCCAAGCCUCUUGUCACUCCAGCACCUUCCACCUCUUCCCCUCUGAAGACCUCAGACUCUGUCCUACGCCCCUAAAGAAAUAUCUCCCACAGUCCCCAACACGACGAGGCAAGAGAGCCAAAACUUGGGAUGGCAAAGAGGGGAAAAAAACAACAGGGAGAACAGCAACGCGAAAAACACAAAUUACUCUCUCGGUAAAUCAUCCUGUAAAACAGUAGCACACGUACGAGGUCAAGCUUCAAGGAAUGGAAAUAAUUGUCACUGAUGCUAGAGGCUGGACUUGGGACUACAGAAUUGUCGCUAGCACUGUACAAUGGCUUUGGGUGGGGCCCAUUCACGUGUUUCCUUUGUUUUAUCCACCCACUCUCCCCUGGUGGCCGCCCUGCUGGUCUGGAUGUGCGCUCUGGGAGCAGAGGGCCCUUGCUGGGAGCUCACUCACUGGACCAUGCCUAGGUCUUUGCUAGACUGGCCCUGAGCUAACAUCCAUGCACAUCUUCUUCUACUUUAUAUGUGGGACACCUACCACAGCAUGGCGUGGUGCCAUGUCCACACCCAGGAUCCGAACUGACAAACCCCGGGCCGUGGAGAAGCAGAAUGUGCGCACUUAACCACUGCGCCACUGGGCUGGCCCUGCAGCCCGGAUCCUUCUCACUGGUCUCCACCAGCAGGAGGCAUGUAAAUGGGAUGGUCGACAGCCAAGAGGAGAGCCAGCGCUUAAUGAAGGCGCAGUCUGUGUCGCAUGAUCUCAUCAGACCUCGCAGAAACCUCUGAAGUAGGCAUUGUCAGGUUUACAGAUGAGGAAACUGAGGCUCGGUGAUGUGUUGGCUUUGUGCCCAAGUUCACGCCGCUGAGAAGACACAGAGCUGGACGCUCCUCCUCAGUCCCUGGAGGCUGGUCUCUGCAAUCCAGCAGCCCAGGCGGUUCCCACCCCUCCCUGUGGCCUCCUCGGAAGGUACUGUUCCCCAGCCUGGCAGCAGGUGGGGACAGAACACCACUGGCCCCGCUCAAUUACCUUUGAAGUGUUCCCAGCCCAUGAGGAGGAUACCUGGGUGAGGAGACCAGGUGUCUGCAAGGCUUGGAGGAGACAGUGGCCCCAGGAACCAGCUAAGUUUUCAGGGGAGAAUCGUCCAGGAGGAUCAUGGUUCCGGUUGAUUCUAUAAAUAAAGAGGAAGGUACUAAGUAUUUUUGGUCACUACUGAGAGACCACAAGAUGACUAGGAAAAGAUUCAGCGUUGACAAGACGCAUGUAGGAAUUUCACAAUGCUUCUCCGCCUCUGUGAAUCUUGCAAAUAUUAAUUUAAUCUGCUGGGUAAAUUGGUAAUAAAAUUCUCUUUGUAUUAAGGAAGUGGUGAAGUUAAUAGGCU